RNAcentral lists this ribosomal RNA (406 nucleotides) under uncultured bacterium. RNAcentral's name for it is "partial 16S ribosomal RNA". It matches the Rfam family "Bacterial small subunit ribosomal RNA", at positions 29 to 526 of the family's 1533-position model. The record is from RNAcentral.
AGUGAACGCUGGCGGUAGGCCUAACACAUGCAAGUCGAACGAGUGGAGGACGGGUGAGGAAUACAUCGGAAUCUACUCUGUCGUGGGGGAUAACGUGGGGAAACUUACGCUAAUACCGCAUACGAUUAAAUGAUCCGAUGUCGGAUUGGCUAGUUGGCGGGGGAAAGGUCCACCAAGGCGACGAUCCGUAGCUGGUCGGAGAGGCUGAUCAGCCACACUGGAACUGAGACACGGUCCAGACUCCUACGGGAGGCAGCAGUGGGGAAUAUUGGACAAUGGGCGCAAGCCUGAUCCAGCCAUACCGCGUGGGGGAAGAAGGCCUUCGGGUUGUAAAGCCCGUUUGUUGGUAAAGCGGUACCCAAAGAAUAAGCACCGGCUAACUUCGUGCCAGCAGCCGCGGUAAUAC